CCUACGAGCGGCAGCAGUGGGGAAUAUUGGACAAUGGGGGCAACCCUGAUCCAGCCAUGCCGCGUGUGUGAAGAAGGCCCUCGGGUUGUAAAGCACUUUCAGUGAGGAAGAACGCCUGGUGGUUAAUACCCAUCAGGAAAGACAUCACUCACAGAAGAAGCACCGGCUAACUCCGUGCCAGCAGCCGCGGUAAUACGGAGGGUGCGAGCGUUAAUCGGAAUUACUGGGCGUAAAGCGCGCGUAGGUGGCUUGAUAAGCCGGUUGUGAAAGCCCCGGGCUCAACCUGGGAACGGCAUCCGGAACUGUCAAGCUAGAGUGCAGGAGAGGAAGGUAGAAUUCCCGGUGUAGCGGUGAAAUGCGUAGAGAUCGGGAGGAAUACCAGUGGCGAAGGCGGCCUUCUGGACUGACACUGACACUGAGGUGCGAAAGCGUGGGUAGCAAACAGGAUUAGAUACCCCGGUAGUC
This 465-nucleotide ribosomal RNA is filed under the name Vreelandella stevensii. RNAcentral describes it as "partial 16S ribosomal RNA". It matches the Rfam family "Bacterial small subunit ribosomal RNA", at positions 338 to 795 of the family's 1533-position model. The record is from RNAcentral. Lineage: Bacteria; Pseudomonadati; Pseudomonadota; Gammaproteobacteria; Oceanospirillales; Halomonadaceae.